Manis javanica (Malayan pangolin) is the source of this 2813-nucleotide non-coding RNA. NCBI's taxonomy places the organism in Eukaryota, Metazoa, Chordata, Mammalia, Pholidota, Manidae. The record is from RefSeq and is a predicted model, not a curated record.
CAAUAAGACACCGCGACACCUCUCCGUCUUGUAGGAGGGACGGAGCUGCGGCGUUCUCCAAAAAUAAGGUGUAAAUUGCCCUCGCGGGCAGCGCGGAGGAGGCGGCGCGUGGGAAGAUGAGCAGAGGCCUGGAGUGGGCCUCAGGGCUGCAGUCUGGGAGCAUGCAGAGAAGGCGUCCCGGUGUGGGGAAACGGCGUUUUGGUGAGGGUGAGGUGAUUGAGGACACUGACUUCAGCUCUGAAAAUUCCCAAGACACAAACUGGAGAAUAUUCAGAAAAAAGCAAUAGAACCGAAUUUGCUUAAAAAUGGAAACAGGACAAACCAAUGUUCCCCAAGUAAAUUGUUAACAUACUAAAUUUAAACAAUAUGAAAAAGAGGUGGAGCUAGAGGAAAGACUAUGAAGGACCAAGAAUCUAUCUCCAAACCUAGAGAACAAAUUCUGCUGGCAGAAUCUGAUGUAACCAUUCUGGAACUCUGGAGUCUACUGAAGGCUUGCAAUUUCCAGGGGAAGGCUUGGUCUGUCAACUGCAGUUGAUUUCAGUUCUUAGAAUCAUAGUAGUUAUCUAUCUCUGAUACUUCCAACCCCACUGCAGGCAACCAUGAAUAUGCUCCUGGAGCAGUCUACAUGCAACUUGUGGUUUCAGGUUGGGCAAUAAGCACCCUGUCCUCCAAAUAUUGGGACUCUGUUUUGACUGCUAAUUCUGAUCAUAGAACUGCAGAUACAGAUGUGGGCAGCCAUUGCCGCAAACCCCACAUUCACUUGAUGGAGUCCUAUAGGUCCCUUGUAAGUCCCUCCUCUGGCUAAAGCAACUUCUAUGAAAUUUAUAGGGCCAAUGUCUUCCCUCUUUCAUUUCUCUCUCUUUUAAAAUAAAUUUUGGAGUUAGACAUUGAAGGAAUAGGCCUUUCAAAAGAAACCACAUAUGUAAUGCCCAAGGAGAGGAGGAGAGGAGUAGGCUCAGAAAAAGCCUGAGGAGACCUUAAGGAAUAUAUCUCAGGCUAAUCUCUGGCAUAUCUUACCAUUUGAAAAAGAAACAAAACAAAACAGUGAACCCAGGGGAAGGGAAAUAAUCUGGUUUCUAGAGUUAGUGCAUUAUAAGACAAAUAUCUACUCUUUACCCCAAAAAUUCAAAGGUAUGCAAAGAAACAAGAAAAUAUUGUCCAUUGAAAGGAAAAAAUAAAUCAAGAGAAACUGUCCCUAAAAAAGCCUAGACGGUAGACUUACUAGACAAAGAUGCAAAACAACUGUCUUAAAGAUGCUCUCGGUGCUAAAAGAAAACAUGCAUACCAUCAGGAAAAUGACGUAUGAACGGAAGGGAACUAUCAAUAUAAAGGGAGAAAACAAAAAGAAACCAAAAAAUUUUGGAACUGAAAAGUAUAAUUGAAGUGAAAAAUUCAAUAGAGGGAUUCAAAACCAAAUUUGAGUAGGCAGAAGAAUCAACAAAUUUGAAAUAGAAUGGAAAUUUUACAGAGUCUGAGAAAUGGAAGACUUGAGAAAAAUUAUUAGGGCCUAAGGGACCUGUAGGGCACCAUCAGGUAGACUGACAUACCCAUUGUGGGAGUCUGAGAAGAAAGGGGCAGAGAGAUUAUCUGAAGAAAUAAUGGCUUAAAAACUCCCCAAAUUCCAUGAAAGACAUGAAUAUAAAUAUCCAAGCUCAAAACCCCAAUCAGGAUAAAACCAAAACCUUAAACCGAGGCAUAUUACAAUCAAACUUUUGAAAGACAGACAAUUCUGGAAACAGCAAGACAGAAGCAAAUCAUCAUAUACAAGGUAUCCCAAUAAGACUGCAGAUUUUUCAUCAGAAAUUUUGGAUGCCAGAAGGCAAUGAAUUGAAAAUUUCAAGGUACUAAAGGAAAAAGAUCUGUCAAUCAACAAUUCUAUAUCUGGCAAAAGUGUCCUUCAAAAAUGAGGCAGAAAUUAAAGCAUUCCCAGAUAAACCAAGCGUGAUGGAAUUCAUUAACAGUUAGUUCUUUCUGCAAGAAAUGCUAAAGGGAGUCCUUAAGGUUUAAAUGAAAGGACGCUUGAUAGUAAAUCAAAGUCUUAUGAAGAAAUAAAGAUCUCUGGUAAAGGUAAGUAUAUAGACAAGUAUAAAAUCAAAUAUUAUAACUUUAGUUGGUAAUUGUACUUUUUGUUUCUACAUGACUUAAGAGACUAAUGCAUAAAAAUCUGGUUAUGAGUUUGUUUUUUGGACACACAGCGUAUGAAGCUAUAAUUGUGACAUCUGUAACUGAAAGGGGUUGGGGAUGGAGCAGUACAGGAGCAGAGUUUUUGUAUAUUAUUAAAGGCAAACAGUAAUAAAGUGUUAUACCUUUAGGAAAGUAAAUGUAAUCCUCAUAGUAACCACAAAGAAAAUCGCUCUUGAAUAUACCCAAAAGGAAAUGAGAUGGUAAUUUAAAUGAUUCACUAUUAAAAAAAUGAACAAAACAUGAAAGAAGAGGAAAUGAGGGACAAAAAAGCUAAGCUAUAAGGUAUAUAGACGACAUAGCAAAAUGAAUAGAAGUAGAAUAGAAGUCCUCAGUUACUUUAAAUGUAAAUAGAUUAAACUUCAAUCAAAAGAUUCUUAGAAUGGGUUUAUAAAAGAAAACAUAAUCCAAUUCUGCUAUCUAUAUGAAACUUACUUUAGAUCCAAAGGUACUAAUUGGUUGAUAAUAAAGGAUAGAAAAGAUAGUCCAUGCAAAUGGUAAUGAAAAGAGAGCAAGGGUAGCUAAGCUAUCAGACAAUACAGACUUUAAAUUGAAAAAUGUUAUGAGACAAAGGACAUUAUAUAUCAAUGCAGCAAGAAGAUAAUGAUUAUAAACAUUUACAUAACAAAACA